AGAGCAGCAGCUUUCUGUAUGAGGUCUGCCAGGACCAACCAGAGAAAGCCAAAUAUGUAUCCUCAACUGACCACAUAGGAUGCCGUGCUUCCACUUAACCUGCCUCCAGCCAGCAACAUCAAAUCAGGGCAUACCUGAAGUCUUUCCUUUUUUCACAUUAUAAAGCUUUCACACUCUCCUGCCUGCCUUCCGAUCUCUGAAAAACACAAGUGAUGGUGGCUGACUGCUUUGCUACAGCAAGCUUUGAAUAAAUAUCCUUUGCUUGUACUCAUUUGAGUGUUCUCCAUUUAUUUCUGCUCUUGGAAUUACAGAAUUAUUAUAGGUGGUUUCAAUUAUUAAUUUAUACCCCCAAAGACUCAAGAUAUAGUCAUUUAUAAUUUUAUUAGGGCUGGGAUUUGAAUUAUACUAUUUGAGACUGAUAUAUGGCAGUUAGUGACUGCCCUGUACACACAUAUGAUUUUGCUUUUGUAUUCACACUGUGACACAUGCACCUUACUGGGGAAAUUAUAUUCUCUAGAGUGUAUUUUGGGGGAUUAUUUUGGAAGGCAUUGAACUUAACACCUUAUGUA
RNAcentral lists this long non-coding RNA (569 nucleotides) under Homo sapiens (human). RNAcentral describes it as "HSALNT0038235". The record is from RNAcentral. Lineage: Eukaryota; Metazoa; Chordata; Mammalia; Primates; Hominidae.